UUAGUAUUGUUCGUUCCUAUG
RNAcentral lists this non-coding RNA (21 nucleotides) under Caenorhabditis elegans. Lineage: Eukaryota; Metazoa; Nematoda; Chromadorea; Rhabditida; Rhabditidae. The record is from RNAcentral.